GUUGGGUAGGGGAGCGUUCUGUAAGCCUGUGAAGGUGGCCUGUGAGGGUUGCUGGAGGUAUCAGAAGUGCGAAUGCUGACAUAAGUAACGAUAAAGCGGGUGAAAAGCCCGCUCGCCGGAAGACCAAGGGUUCCUGUCCAACGUUAAUCGGGGCAGGGUGAGUCGACCCCUAAGGCGAGGCCGAAAGGCGUAGUCGAUGGGAAACGGGUUAAUAUUCCCGUACUUGGUGUUACUGCGAAGGGGGGACGGAGAAGGCUAUGUUGGCCGGGCGACGGUUGUCCCGGUUUAAGCGUGUAGGUGUGUGUUCCAGGUAAAUCCGGUUCACUUUAACACUGAGGCGUGACGACGAGGCACUACGGUGCUGAAGCAACAAAUGCCCUGCUUCCAGGAAAAGCCUCUAAGCAUCAGGUAACAUCAAAUCGUACCCCAAACCGACACAGGUGGUCAGGUAGAGAAUACCAAGGCGCUUGAGAGAACUCGGGUGAAGGAACUAGGCAAAAUGGUGCCGUAACUUCGGGAGAAGGCACGCUGACAUGUAGGUGAAGUGAUUUACUCAUGGAGCUGAAGUCAGUCGAAGAUACCAGCUGGCUGCAACUGUUUAUUAAAAACACAGCACUGUGCAAACACGAAAGUGGACGUAUACGGUGUGACGCCUGCCCGGUGCCGGAAGGUUAAUUGAUGGGGUCAGCGCAAGCGAAGCUCCUGAUCGAAGCCCCGGUAAACGGCGGCCGUAACUAUAACGGUCCUAAGGUAGCGAAAUUCCUUGUCGGGUAAGUUCCGACCUGCACGAAUGGCGUAAUGAUGGCCAGGCUGUCUCCACCCGAGACUCAGUGAAAUUGAACUCGCUGUGAAGAUGCAGUGUACCCGCGGCAAGACGGAAAGACCCCGUGAACCUUUACUAUAGCUUGACACUGAACAUUGAGCCUUGAUGUGUAGGAUAGGUGGGAGGCUUUGAAGUGUGGACGCCAGUCUGCAUGGAGCCGACCUUGAAAUACCACCCUUUAAUGUUUGAUGUUCUAACGUGGACCCGUUAUCCGGGUUGCGGACAGUGUCUGGUGGGUAGUUUGACUGGGGCGGUCUCCUCCUAAAGAGUAACGGAGGAGCACGAAGGUUGGCUAAUCCUGGUCGGACAUCAGGAGGUUAGUGCAAUGGCAUAAGCCAGCUUGACUGCGAGCGUGACGGCGCGAGCAGGUGCGAAAGCAGGUCAUAGUGAUCCGGUGGUUCUGAAUGGAAGGGCCAUCGCUCAACGGAUAAAAGGUACUCCGGGGAUAACAGGCUGAUACCGCCCAAGAGUUCAUAUCGACGGCGGUGUUUGGCACCUCGAUGUCGGCUCAUCACAUCCUGGGGCUGAAGUAGGUCCCAAGGGUAUGGCUGUUCGCCAUUUAAAGUGGUACGCGAGCUGGGUUUAGAACGUCGUGAGACAGUUCGGUCCCUAUCUGCCGUGGGCGCUGGAGAACUGAGGGGGGCUGCUCCUAGUACGAGAGGACCGGAGUGGACGCAUCACUGGUGUUCGGGUUGUCAUGCCAAUGGCACUGCCCGGUAGCUAAAUGCGGAAGAGAUAAGUGCUGAAAGCAUCUAAGCACGAAACUUGCCCCGAGAUGAGUUCUCCCUGAGACUU
RNAcentral lists this ribosomal RNA (1618 nucleotides) under Salmonella enterica. Its description in RNAcentral is "bacterial LSU rRNA". It matches the Rfam family "Bacterial large subunit ribosomal RNA", at positions 1223 to 2823 of the family's 2925-position model. RNAcentral also lists the same sequence under 2 other names. The record is from RNAcentral. Lineage: Bacteria; Pseudomonadati; Pseudomonadota; Gammaproteobacteria; Enterobacterales; Enterobacteriaceae.